Molecule: long non-coding RNA, 293 nt
Filed under: Brassica rapa (field mustard)
Lineage: Eukaryota; Viridiplantae; Streptophyta; Magnoliopsida; Brassicales; Brassicaceae
Description: long non-coding RNA (BRAP_LNC002736)
Source: RNAcentral
AUCGUAUAUGUAGAUUCGUAUAUAUAAAUUUAAGUAGAUUCAAAAAUAUCAUUUUUUUCAACAUAUUUUCAUUUUCAUAUUUUAAAACAUAUUUUCUUUACGAAAUCUAUAAAACGAAUUUACAAAUUCAUGUAAGAAGAAAACAUACGAACCCGGCGCGUAGCGCCGGAAUACCACUAGUAUAUAUAUAUAAGAAGUUCGUGAUCUUUUACAGAAUAAAAAGUAGCUGAUGAUUUUUUUUUUUUUUUUUUUUUUUUUGAUGAAAUUUGAAAUUUAUUGAUCAAAAUAUGAAC